UAAAGAUUUCAGCCCCAAAAAUCUGUGUUGGUAAUCGCAUUCUAUCAAAUUUAAUUUUCUAUACACAAAUGGGCUACUUGGAAUCCCUUUCUAACUCUCUUCCUGCUUCAGAAUUUUAUAUGGAAAAAAGGCGAACACAUAGAUUGCAGAUUUGCAGAGAUAUUCUAUAUGCCCUUCAAUUUCUUUUCCUUUUCCAGAUAAAUUACUGCUGCUCAUGUUGCCAAAAUAAAAGAACGAACUUAGGAGAUGAAAGGACAAAAUAAUCAAUGACUCUGAAGGCAAAGAACAGGAGAGAAAAACAUGUUCCAUUUGUUGAAAUGAUGACAAGCAAGUUACAGAGUUAAUAGGGUCAGAAGAAGAGAAUUGUAAAGCGAUAAGAAGAUAUAUAUACUUGUAGUGAAGAAGUUGUUUGAAAUUAUGAUCCAUAGACACAAAGAUAGAGAUUGGCUUGAUCAUGUUUCAACAUCAGAAAGCCUGUGCUUUUUCCAUCCAAUCCGAGGAGUGAUCCAAUGCGAUAGAUUAUGUUAUGAUCAAAUUUGUAAGAUCAUAUGUUGUGUUUGGUACUUUAAUACUAUAUGUUCCAUGCAAAUUUAAUGUUUAUGGGUUGUAACUUUUUGGGAUUUUGAUCUUCUUAACUUUUGAUUCGCCUAUUCACACAGGAAGAUGUUUGAGGCUAACAAACAUAUGGUUUGUUCUUAUUCCCUUUUAUUUUCCCUUUUCUUUGUAUUUUCAGCAUCUUAGCCCUAUUUUGUACCAUACCAACUUCUUAGGAAGAAAGAAAAUCUUCUUUUUUCCUGUAUAUCUAUGGCUUUUAUGUUUAUAUGGUAAAAAUUGUCAUUUUCUUGAUAAAAUUAAGUUAAAUGUAGGGAUUAACUCGGAAUACGUAAAGAUCUUAAACAUGAAAAAAACUUUCGGGAGUGAUGACCAAUUUGUAAAUGUAUUAAUUUCGGGAAAUAACUCAAGCUCAGGCUGGUAAAGGAAAAAAAAAAGAUAGUAUGAUUUUUCGAUUGCUGAAAUCUCACAAAUAUUACUAAUAUGAUUUCUCAAUUGCUGAUUGUUGUUUGUUACUAUGGGA
This 1075-nucleotide long non-coding RNA is filed under the name Nicotiana tabacum (common tobacco). RNAcentral describes it as "long non-coding RNA (NTAB_LNC015707)". The record is from RNAcentral. Lineage: Eukaryota; Viridiplantae; Streptophyta; Magnoliopsida; Solanales; Solanaceae.